GCCUGCCCAGUGAAACUUUCAACGGCCGCGGUAUCCUAACCGUGCAAAGGUAGCGUAAUCAUUUGUCCCCUAAAUAGGGACCAGUAUGAACGGCUAAAUGAGGGCCAACCUGUCUCCUUUGACCCAUCAGUGAAACUGAUCUACCAGUACAAAAGCUGGUAUAAGCCCACAAGACGAGAAGACCCUGCGGAGCUUUAAAUCAAAGCCAACAGGCCCAACCAAAGCCCCUGCCUGGCCUAAGAUUUUCAGUUGGGGCGACUUCGGAACAAAACCCAACUUCCGAGCAAGGACCUUAAAUCCCACCCAGACCGACAGGUCAAACAACAUGACCCAGUAACACUGAUAAACGAACCAAGUUACCCCAGGGAUAACAGCGCAAUCCUCUUAAAGAGUCCCUAUCGACAAGAGGGUUUACGACCUCGAUGUUGGAUCAGGACACCCAAUUGGUGCAGCCGCUA
RNAcentral lists this ribosomal RNA (458 nucleotides) under Eurolophosaurus divaricatus. RNAcentral describes it as "partial 16S ribosomal RNA". It matches the Rfam family "Bacterial large subunit ribosomal RNA", at positions 1857 to 2564 of the family's 2925-position model. The record is from RNAcentral. Lineage: Eukaryota; Metazoa; Chordata; Lepidosauria; Squamata; Tropiduridae.